ACGCUGGCGGCGUGCUUAACACAUGCAAGUCGAACGAAGAGCGAUGGAAGCUUGCUUCUAUCAAUCUUAGUGGCGAACGGGUGAGUAACGCGUAAUCAACCUGCCCUUCAGAGGGGGACAACAGUUGGAAACGACUGCUAAUACCGCAUACGAUCCAAUCUCGGCAUCGAGACUGGAUGAAAGGUGGCCUCUAUUUAUAAGCUAUCACUGAAGGAGGGGAUUGCGUCUGAUUAGCUAGUUGGAGGGGUAACGGCCCACCAAGGCGAUGAUCAGUAGCCGGUCUGAGAGGAUGAACGGCCACAUUGGGACCGAGACACGGCCCAGACUCCUACGGGAGGCAGCAGUGGGGAAUCUUCCGCAAUGGACGAAAGUCUGACGGAGCAACGCCGCGUGAGUGAUGACGGCCUUCGGGUUGUAAAGCUCUGUUAAUCGGGACGAAUGGUUCUUGUGCAAAUAGUGCGAGGAUUUGACGGUACCGGAAUAGAAAGCCGCGGCUAACUACGUGCCAGCAGCCGCGGUAAUACGUAGGUGGCAAGCGUUGUCCGGAAUUAUUGGGCGUAAAGCGCGCGCAGGCGGAUUGGUCAGUCUGUCUUAAAAGUUCGGGGCUUAACCCCGUGAUGGGAUGGAAACUGCCAAUCUAGAGUAUCGGAGAGGAAAGUGGAAUUCCUAGUGUAGCGGUGAAAUGCGUAGAUAUUAGGAAGAACACCAGUGGCGAAGGCGACUUUCUGGACGAAAACUGACGCUGAGGCGCGUAAGCCAGGGGAGCGAACGGGAUUAGAUACCCCGGUAGUCCUGGCCGUAAACGAUGGGUACUAGGUGUAGGAGGUAUCGACCCCUUCUGUGCCGGAGUUAACGCAAUAAGUACCCCGCCUGGGGAGUACGACCGCAAGGUUGAAACUCAAAGGAAUUGACGGGGG
RNAcentral lists this ribosomal RNA (917 nucleotides) under uncultured bacterium. RNAcentral's name for it is "bacterial SSU rRNA". It matches the Rfam family "Bacterial small subunit ribosomal RNA", at positions 33 to 919 of the family's 1533-position model. The record is from RNAcentral.